Molecule: unclassified non-coding RNA, 465 nt
Filed under: Phyla dulcis
Lineage: Eukaryota; Viridiplantae; Streptophyta; Magnoliopsida; Lamiales; Verbenaceae
Description: partial external transcribed spacer
Source: RNAcentral
UACUGGCAGGAUCAACCAGGUAGCAUUCCUCAUCGACGCCGAUCGCCGCAUGAGCCGAGCCGAGCGACUCGACCAAAACGGGAACGGACGUCGUUCGCAUGAAGCGUCGAACGCUCUUGUUUUCGGGACAAAUAGAGGUCGAGGACCUCGUACCGCACCGCUAUUCCACAUCCGAGAGAACCAACACAACGACAUGAGCCAACGAGAACGAUAGCCCUAGAGCGCACGAAUCGUGGAUCAGAUCGAGUGCUUCGGUGUCCAUCCCGUACUGCAUCCCUAAAGGGCACAGCACAAGGAGGAAAAGGGACAUCGGGACUAAACCAUGCCUUCUCGAUAGGUAUACAACACAGGAAACCGACGUCAGUCAAGGCAAUCAGCAACUUGAGCCAACAAUUGAAAAGGCAAGCGCGAGAUGCCGUCGCUGCCCCAGCAGGGAACCGACAUGCCCAUACAAGCCAAUCACCA